AAAUUGAAGAGUUUGAUCAUGGCUCAGAUUGAACGCUGGCGGCAGGCCUAACACAUGCAAGUCGAACGGUAACAGGAAGCAGCUUGCUGCUUCGCUGACGAGUGGCGGACGGGUGAGUAAUGUCUGGGAAACUGCCUGAUGGAGGGGGAUAACUACUGGAAACGGUAGCUAAUACCGCAUAAUGUCGCAAGACCAAAGAGGGGGACCUUCGGGCCUCUUGCCAUCGGAUGUGCCCAGAUGGGAUUAGCUAGUAGGUGGGGUAACGGCUCACCUAGGCGACGAUCCCUAGCUGGUCUGAGAGGAUGACCAGCCACACUGGAACUGAGACACGGUCCAGACUCCUACGGGAGGCAGCAGUGGGGAAUAUUGCACAAUGGGCGCAAGCCUGAUGCAGCCAUGCCGCGUGUAUGAAGAAGGCCUUCGGGUUGUAAAGUACUUUCAGCGGGGAGGAAGGCGAUAAGGUUAAUAACCUUGUCGAUUGACGUUACCCGCAGAAGAAGCACCGGCUAACUCCGUGCCAGCAGCCGCGGUAAUACGGAGGGUGCAAGCGUUAAUCGGAAUUACUGGGCGUAAAGCGCACGCAGGCGGUCUGUCAAGUCGGAUGUGAAAUCCCCGGGCUCAACCUGGGAACUGCAUUCGAAACUGGCAGGCUAGAGUCUUGUAGAGGGGGGUAGAAUUCCAGGUGUAGCGGUGAAAUGCGUAGAGAUCUGGAGGAAUACCGGUGGCGAAGGCGGCCCCCUGGACAAAGACUGACGCUCAGGUGCGAAAGCGUGGGGAGCAAACAGGAUUAGAUACCCUGGUAGUCCACGCCGUAAACGAUGUCGACUUGGAGGUUGUGCCCUUGAGGCGUGGCUUCCGGAGCUAACGCGUUAAGUCGACCGCCUGGGGAGUACGGCCGCAAGGUUAAAACUCAAAUGAAUUGACGGGGGCCCGCACAAGCGGUGGAGCAUGUGGUUUAAUUCGAUGCAACGCGAAGAACCUUACCUACUCUUGACAUCCAGAGAACUUUCCAGAGAUGGAUUGGUGCCUUCGGGAACUCUGAGACAGGUGCUGCAUGGCUGUCGUCAGCUCGUGUUGUGAAAUGUUGGGUUAAGUCCCGCAACGAGCGCAACCCUUAUCCUUUGUUGCCAGCGGUUAGGCCGGGAACUCAAAGGAGACUGCCAGUGAUAAACUGGAGGAAGGUGGGGAUGACGUCAAGUCAUCAUGGCCCUUACGAGUAGGGCUACACACGUGCUACAAUGGCGCAUACAAAGAGAAGCGACCUCGCGAGAGCAAGCGGACCUCAUAAAGUGCGUCGUAGUCCGGAUUGGAGUCUGCAACUCGACUCCAUGAAGUCGGAAUCGCUAGUAAUCGUGGAUCAGAAUGCCACGGUGAAUACGUUCCCGGGCCUUGUACACACCGCCCGUCACACCAUGGGAGUGGGUUGCAAAAGAAGUAGGUAGCUUAACCUUCGGGAGGGCGCUUACCACUUUGUGAUUCAUGACUGGGGUGAAGUCGUAACAAGGUAACCGUAGGGGAACCUGCGGUUGGAUCACCUCCUUACCUUAAAGAA
Molecule: ribosomal RNA, 1552 nt
Filed under: Enterobacter hormaechei
Lineage: Bacteria; Pseudomonadati; Pseudomonadota; Gammaproteobacteria; Enterobacterales; Enterobacteriaceae
Also listed under: 1 other name
Description: bacterial SSU rRNA
Rfam family: Bacterial small subunit ribosomal RNA
Source: RNAcentral